CCUACGGGAGACAGCAGUGAGGAAUAUUGGUCAAUGGACGAGAGUCUGAACCAGCCAAGUAGCGUGAAGGAUGACUGCCCUAUGGGUUGUAAACUUCUUUUAUAUGGGAAUAAAAUGUUCCACGUGUGGGAUUUUGUAUGUACCAUAUGAAUAAGGAUCGGCUAACUCCGUGCCAGCAGCCGCGGUAAUACGGAGGAUCCGAGCGUUAUCCGGAUUUAUUGGGUUUAAAGGGAGCGUAGGUGGAUUGUUAAGUCAGUUGUGAAAGUUUGCGGCUCAACCGUAAAAUUGCAGUUGAAACUGGCAGGCUUGAGUACAGUAGAGGUGGGCGGAAUUCGUGGUGUAGCGGUGAAAUGCUUAGAUAUCACGAAGAACUCCGAUUGCGAAGGCAGCUCACUGGACUGCAACUGACACUGAGGCUCGAAAGUGUGGGUAUCAAACAGGAUUAGAUACCCCAGUAGUC
This 460-nucleotide ribosomal RNA is filed under the name uncultured bacterium. Its description in RNAcentral is "partial 16S ribosomal RNA". It matches the Rfam family "Bacterial small subunit ribosomal RNA", at positions 338 to 795 of the family's 1533-position model. The record is from RNAcentral.